Molecule: ribosomal RNA, 142 nt
Filed under: uncultured bacterium
Lineage: Bacteria
Description: partial 16S ribosomal RNA
Rfam family: Bacterial small subunit ribosomal RNA
Source: RNAcentral
CAGGUCAGCAUACUGUGGUGAAUACGUUCCCGGGCCUUGUACACACCGCCCGUCACACCAUGAGAGUUGAGAAUACCCGAAGCCCAUGUCAAAGUGGUCGAAGGUAGGCUUGAUGAUUGGGGUGAAGUCGUAACAAGGUAGC